GGGCGCGGGGGGAAUGUAACGUGGCCAGUCCACUGACCUGCUUCAUCUAAUAAUUUCUCCUAGAUAAUGGGAUGAAUUAUUACUGUUGCUUUGAUCUUGAAUAGUUUAAAUGGAAAAGAAAAAAAAAGGAGGUGUAGGUAAUGUGGCGAGUGACUAUUGGAUUGGUUCACUUGGUCUAUUUAAUAAUUUCUCCUCUAUUUAUAAAAACUCCCACCAAGGCUCCAAUGGUUAGUCUCUAUGGAAGUCCAUUAAGGCUCCAAUAAAUGCUAAGGGCUAUGUCUGCAUAUGGUUAUUGUGGGUUGUUCUUAGCUGGCUCAGGCAGUAAAGGCUCUUCGAGGCUAGCCUAAUAACGCCCAAUAACUCUUAUAGUUUGCUUCAAAUAAACCUUUGUUAAAUUAUGCAAAUAACACCCAAUAGCUCCCAUGGUUAGGCUUGAAGUAAAAAUUUGCAAACAAUAGGUUGUUUACAUGGCCCAAUAACUCUUAUGGUUAGGCGUGAAAUAAGAACUUGCAACAAAUAACAU
Molecule: long non-coding RNA, 523 nt
Filed under: Phoenix dactylifera (date palm)
Lineage: Eukaryota; Viridiplantae; Streptophyta; Magnoliopsida; Arecales; Arecaceae
Description: long non-coding RNA (PDAC_LNC006154)
Source: RNAcentral